Molecule: ribosomal RNA, 472 nt
Filed under: uncultured bacterium
Lineage: Bacteria
Description: bacterial SSU rRNA
Rfam family: Bacterial small subunit ribosomal RNA
Source: RNAcentral
GGGCCAGACUCCUACGGGAGGCAGCAGUGGGGAAUUUUGGACAAUGGGCGCAAGCCUGAUCCAGCUAUUCCGCGUGUGGGAUGACGGCCCUCGGGUUGUAAACCACUUUAGUAGAGAACGAAAAGGAGCUAUCGAAUAAAUAGCUCUGCUGACGGUACUCUAAGAAUAAGCACCGGCUAACUACGUGCCAGCAGCCGCGGUAAUACGUAGGGUGCGAGCGUUAAUCGGAAUUACUGGGCGUAAAGGGUGUGCAGGCGGGCUGUUAAGUCAGCGGUCAAAUGUCGGGGCUCACCCCCGGCCUGCCGUUGAAACUGGCGGCCUCGAGUGGGCGAGAAGUAUGCGGAAUGCGUGGUGUAGCGGUGAAAUGCAUAGAUAUCGCGCAGAACUCCGAUUGCGAAGGCAGCAUGCCGGCUCCACACUGACGCUGAGGCACGAAAGCGUGGGUAUCGAACAGGAUUAGAUACCCUAGUAA